Molecule: small nuclear RNA, 149 nt
Filed under: Laticauda laticaudata (blue-ringed sea krait)
Lineage: Eukaryota; Metazoa; Chordata; Lepidosauria; Squamata; Elapidae
Description: U4 spliceosomal RNA (ENSLLTG00000018034.1)
Rfam family: U4 spliceosomal RNA (bases 1-64)
Source: RNAcentral
AUUUUUGCGCAGUGGCAGUAUCGUAGCCAAUGAGGUUUAUCUGAGGCGUGAUUAUUGCUAAUUAUUGCUAAUUGAUUAUGUGAUCCACUUUUGCGACCUUCUGACAAGCAAAAUCAGUGGGGAAGCCAAAUUCACUUAACAACUAUGUU